Molecule: non-coding RNA, 992 nt
Organism: Camellia sinensis
Lineage: Eukaryota; Viridiplantae; Streptophyta; Magnoliopsida; Ericales; Theaceae
Source: RefSeq, a predicted model, not a curated record
CCAUAUGGAUGGAUGCGUGACACGUGGCGGGCGGAUGCGGGUGCAUUUUUUGGCUUUUUGCGGGUUCGGGUCGAGUUGCAGUUGACCCGCCUCUGUACCCAAUAAACCCGACCCGCCCGUUUUUGUUGUUUUUAUUAUUAUUUUCCCCCUUUUUUUCUGAUCUCAUCUCACCACACUAACCUAAUAUUUCAUUCCUCUUCUUCGAUACACACACACACACAUACACUCUCUCUCUCUCUCCCUCUCUCCCAGAACCUUACCCAUACCGACGGCGAUGACGAUCGAGAGACUAUCUACACUGAAAAAGCCACGGUGAUCGACGAUCUGCUUUUGUUUUUGGAUCUGUACGCCCUCAGCCAGCCCUUUUUUGAGAGUCUCAUAUUAAAACCUUAACCCAUUGGCAUUCUUCGACCUGAAAGAGGAUCGACGAUCGUGGUGUGGUGGUGAGAUAUUGUCUUCUCUUCUUCUCUUAUUCUCCUGAUUCUGUAAUCUGUUCGUUAUGUAAUUUUUUUUUUCCGACUUCGACUUCCUCUAAAGUUCUUCUUUUCUGCAAUUUGUUUGUAAUCUAUUCUAUAAUUUUUUUUUUGUUCUGUAAAUCUGUUCAUUCUUAUUUUCCUCUUUUUUUUUUUUUUUUUUUUUUUUUUUUCUUGGUUCCAGUUUAUUGUAGUUCUAAAGUGAAACCAGUGGAAGAGAGGUUCUACAGUGUGAAGAGAGGUUCUACAGUGUGAAGAAGGUUACAGAGAGGGAAAAAAAGUGUUUGGCUCAUGGCUCAUGGUUCAUGAUUUGGCUCAAAGAAAUCAAUGGCUUAAGACAUUUUAAAUUUUUUGGAUGAUUGUAUUAACCAUUAAGACAUUUCAAAUUUUUUGGAUAAUUGUGUUAACUAUUAAGGCAUUUCAAAUUUUUUGGAUGACUGUAAUAUUUUAUUUUGGAUGACUUGUAAUACUUUAUUUUGGAUGAUUGUAUGUUAAAAAUUUGUGUUGCGUUGUUGUGUC